UUAACUCGAUCCUAUGUCGAACCCAGCAACCAAUAAUCAUACUAUCUGACGCAUCGAUUGCGUUCCACUUCGUCUUCACCAUCUCGGUUCUCCCUGAUGUCUGUUACGGUUGAAGUGCGGUAUGCGAUUGCUGUAACGUGUGAAGAUAAAUGGCUCUCGAAUACGACCUCUGAAUGAAAACAUGAAGAAGUGUCAGUAUGCCGUAAGUGGUGAGCUCUAGAAAAGGCAUAAAGGUGGUUGCGCUCUGUCAAGCUCCUUGUCUACUAGAUGACCCAUAUGUAGGAAUGAUAUUUCCAAGAGCUAAGCAUUAUCUUUUCUUGAUUUGCAAACUCAUUAGUUAGCCGGUUAUCUAUAAAGAUUUCAUGUGAAAAUAUCAAAAUGUUAUUUCCUUUCUAUGUGUGUCAUCAGGUGCUUACAGUGACUCAAGAGGCCUUGUGGAAGCUAGGAAAGCCAGCUCAAGCCUUUUGUUGUCAUUUUCAUAUCUCAGUAAUCCAGAACUCAUAUUCCUCACGAUGGAGCUAGCAAAGGUGUGAAACAAAUCUUAAGCUGUGCUAUUCGCGGUGAGGGAGACGAUAGCAAAGGUGUGAAACAAAUCUUAAACUGUGUUAAUUGCUAUUCGCGGUGAGGGAGAUGAGGCUUCAUUGGGCUGAACCGUGUAUGGCACUAUGAAUGUCAUCUGAAGCAAGUCUUUUCCGAGAGCCUCACCAUUUCUCCAUGAAUAAUAAAGACAUCCACAGGUUUACUGACCACCAGUUCACCAUUUCCUUCAGUCACAACUCUGUGUUGUCGGCCAAAAAUGAAUGAUGCUUUUCACAUAAUUCUGUGUUGCCUCUCAAUGUCUCACGGAGAUUUCGUUUGUCAUUUGAAGUGAAAAAUAACCAAAAGCGCAAGAAAUGAGUAAGACGAUCAGAUGUUAUGCUCAUGCUAUUUUUGGCUGCUAAUUGUUUGAGGGAUAUGGAGUGCCAGGAAGGUGGCGAUUUUGGAAUCGUGCCUGCACAGCUUGUGCUAAUGUCAAAAGAUCACAAUAUUCAUUGCUUCUCUGCAGAAAUAUUGAGAAGAGCAGGCGAGUGCAAGUGCGACCAAGAAGCUUCACCAGAAAAGGCAAUUCAUCGCAAUUUAAGUAGAAAAAUAGGAAUUAUGAUCAGAAGAAAUAAGGUGGUGAUGAGAUGAAUGCAUGUCUUAUAUGCCCUGAAGCGAUGGUUACAGCAGAUCUAAGCUUCUUACCCUGUCCUUGCGGAUGUGUCUAUGUCUCUUCUCCUCUAUUCUGAUCAACCAAGACGAUGGACGUAGCCCACGACGCUCAGCUUCCCCAAACAAGUAUGAGAGGGCAAGUAGUAACAGUGUUUUAUUUUUUUAGUUAUUUCCUUAGUAUCUCAAUUGCACACAACAUAUUGUUUGUCAACAGAGUUUGUGUUACUGACGUUGCUGCAUCUUUUGAAAGUUUGAAACUUAAUAAAAGUGAU
Molecule: long non-coding RNA, 1463 nt
Organism: Brassica oleracea var. oleracea
Lineage: Eukaryota; Viridiplantae; Streptophyta; Magnoliopsida; Brassicales; Brassicaceae
Exons: 7
Source: RefSeq, a predicted model, not a curated record